AGAGUUUGAUUAUGGCUCAGGAUGAACGCCAGCUACAGGCUUAACACAUGCAAGUCGAGGGGCAGCAUGGUCUUAGCUUGCUAAGGCUGAUGGCGACCGGCGCACGGGUGAGUAACGCGUAUCCAACCUUCCCCUUAGUAGGGCAUAGCCCGGCGAAAGUCGGAUUAACACCCUAUGUUUUCCGUUGCGGGCAUCUAAUAUGGAACAAAGAUUUAUCGCUAAGGGAUGGGGAUGCGUCUGAUUAGGUAGUAGGCGGGGUAACGGCCCACCUAGCCUUCGAUCAGUAGGGGUUCUGAGAGGAAGGUCCCCCACAUUGGAACUGAGACACGGUCCAAACUCCUACGGGAGGCAGCAGUGAGGAAUAUUGGUCAAUGGCCGAGAGGCUGAACCAGCCAAGUAGCGUGCCAGGACGACGGCCCUAUGGGUUGUAAACUGCUUUUAUGCGGGGAUAAAGUCGCCCACGUGUGGGUGUUUGCAGGUACCGCAUGAAUAAGGACCGGCUAAUUCCGUGCCAGCAGCCGC
RNAcentral lists this ribosomal RNA (522 nucleotides) under uncultured bacterium. RNAcentral describes it as "bacterial SSU rRNA". It matches the Rfam family "Bacterial small subunit ribosomal RNA", at positions 8 to 518 of the family's 1533-position model. The record is from RNAcentral.